GAUGAACGCUGGCGGCGUGCCUAAUACAUGCAAGUCGAGCGAACAGACGAGGAGCUUGCUCCUUUGACGUUAGCGGCGGACGGGUGAGUAACACGUGGGUAACCUACCUAUAAGACUGGGAUAACUUCGGGAAACCGGAGCUAAUACCGGAUAAUAUUUCGAACCGCAUGGUUCGAUAGUGAAAGAUGGCUUUGCUAUCACUUAUAGAUGGACCUGCGCCGUAUUAGCUAGUUGGUAAGGUAACGGCUUACCAAGGCAACGAUACGUAGCCGGCCUGAGAGGGUGAUAGGCCACACUGGAACUGAGCCACGGUCCAGACUCCUACGGGAGGCAGCAGUAGGGAAUCUUCCGCAAUGGGCGAAAGCCUGACGGAGCAACGCCGCGUGAGUGAUGAAGGUCUUCGGAUCGUAAAACUCUGUUAUUAGGGAAGAACAAACGUGUAAGUAACUGUGCACGUCUUGACGGUACCUAAUCAGAAAGCCACGGCUAACUACGUG
This 497-nucleotide ribosomal RNA is filed under the name uncultured bacterium. Its description in RNAcentral is "partial 16S ribosomal RNA". It matches the Rfam family "Bacterial small subunit ribosomal RNA", at positions 28 to 507 of the family's 1533-position model. The record is from RNAcentral.